ACCGUUCAGGGGUAAACCUGAGAAACCCAAAAGAUCGAAUGGGGAGAUUCAUCGUCAGCUCAUUUUGUAUAUAUACGAGUUAUGAUAUGGGUUACUACUUGUAGUAUUGCCUGUACAUUCUUGUAUAUUUUAUUGCAAGAUGUUGUCGGCGUGCACUUCUCCCCUAGUAGGACGUCGCGACCCGUUGAGUGUCGGUCUACGGCCCGAGUGGUAGCCUUUAAUUCUUGUAAUUAAAGACCCUUGGUGUUUCCUGGCUGGCUACUCGGCGGUAUUCGUACGGUAUUAAGCCGCAUUUAUGCGUUCAUAUCCGUCGCAAGCGCGGUCAAUUUUUGGUAGUACGGACCUAGUGCCGUCGCUAUAAUUGAUCAGCUGUUGGUUGUACGGUAUUCUAGAACUGGCUUAACAUAUACCGGUCUGCGAUGCUACUGCUUUGGGUACUUUCAGGA
Molecule: ribosomal RNA, 446 nt
Filed under: Apodesmia sp. SY160
Lineage: Eukaryota; Metazoa; Arthropoda; Insecta; Hymenoptera; Braconidae
Description: eukaryotic LSU rRNA
Source: RNAcentral